RNAcentral lists this unclassified non-coding RNA (173 nucleotides) under plant metagenome. RNAcentral's name for it is "partial contains small subunit ribosomal RNA, internal transcribed spacer 1, and 5.8S ribosomal RNA". The record is from RNAcentral.
UUUCCGUAGGUGAACCUGCGGAAGGAUCAUCACUGCAUCCGUUCCUUUGCCACCCCUCUGUGGACGCAUUCGUGGCGCCUGACGGCGCCGCGUCAUUUCAUUUCAAAACACGAACGCGCUUUGAAAACCUCACAUAAUAGACACAACUUUUAACAACGGAUCUCUUGGUUCUC